Molecule: ribosomal RNA, 572 nt
Filed under: uncultured Aspergillus
Lineage: Eukaryota; Fungi; Ascomycota; Eurotiomycetes; Eurotiales; Aspergillaceae
Description: eukaryotic LSU rRNA
Rfam family: 5.8S ribosomal RNA (bases 194-346)
Source: RNAcentral
AUCAUUACCGAGUGAGGGCCCUCUGGGUCCAACCUCCCACCCGUGUUUAUUUUACCUUGUUGCUUCGGCGGGCCCGCCGCUUGUCGGCCGCCGGGGGGGCGCCUUUGCCCCCCGGGCCCGUGCCCGCCGGAGACCCCAACACGAACACUGUCUGAAAGCGUGCAGUCUGAGUUGAUUGAAUGCAAUCAGUUAAAACUUUCAACAAUGGAUCUCUUGGUUCCGGCAUCGAUGAAGAACGCAGCGAAAUGCGAUACGUAAUGUGAAUUGCAAAUCCAGUGAAUCAUCGAGUCUUUGGACGCACAUUGCGCCCCCUGGUAUUCCGGGGGGCAUGCCUGUCCGAGCGUCAUUGCUGCCCUCAAGCACGGCUUGUGUGUUGGGCCCCGUCCUCCGAUCCCGGGGGACGGGCCCGAAAGGCAGCGGCGGCACCGCGUCCGGUCCUCGAGCGUAUGGGGCUUUGUCACCCGCUCUGUAGGCCCGGCCGGCGCUUGCCGAUCAACCCAAAUUUUUAUCCAGGUUGACCUCGGAUCAGGUAGGGAUACCCGCUGAACUUAAGCAUAUCAAUAAGCGGAGGA